AUUGAACGCUGGCGGCAUGCUUUACACAUGCAAGUCGAACGGUAACAGGCCUUCGGGUGCUGACGAGUGGCGAACGGGUGAGUAAUGCAUCGGAACGUGCCCAGAGGUGGGGGAUAACGCAGCGAAAGCUGUGCUAAUACCGCAUGUGAUCUGAGGAUGAAAGCGGGGGACCAGGCAGCAAUGUUUGGCCUCGCGCCUUUGGAGCGGCCGAUGUCAGAUUAGGUAGUUGGUGGGGUAAAGGCCUACCAAGCCGACGAUCUGUAGCUGGUCUGAGAGGACGAACAGCCACACUGGGACUGAGACACGGCCCAGACUCCUACGGGAGGCAGCAGUGGGGAAUUUUGGACAAUGGGCGAAAGCCUGAUCCAGCAAUGCCGCGUGCGGGAAGAAGGCCUUCGGGUUGUAAAACGCUUUUGUACGGAACGAAAAGGCUCUGGCUAAUACCUGGGGCUGAUGACGGUACCGUAAGAAUAAGCACCGGCUAACUACGUG
This 492-nucleotide ribosomal RNA is filed under the name uncultured bacterium. RNAcentral describes it as "partial 16S ribosomal RNA". It matches the Rfam family "Bacterial small subunit ribosomal RNA", at positions 30 to 507 of the family's 1533-position model. The record is from RNAcentral.